UACGUAGGGUGCAAGCGUUAAUCGGAAUUACUGGGCGUAAAGGGAGCGUAGGCGGAUAGUUUAGUCAGAGGUGAAAGCCCUGGGCUCAACCUGGGAACUGCAUUCGAUACUGUCGAGCUAGAGUGUGGGAGAGGGUGGUGGAAUUCCCGGUGUAGCGGUGAAAUGCGUAGAUAUCGGGAGGAACAUCAGUGGCGAAGGCGACCGCCUGGCCCAACACUGACGCUGAGGUGCGAAAGCGUGGGUAGCAAACAGGAUUAGAUACCCUGGUAGU
This 271-nucleotide ribosomal RNA is filed under the name uncultured bacterium. RNAcentral describes it as "partial 16S ribosomal RNA". It matches the Rfam family "Bacterial small subunit ribosomal RNA", at positions 524 to 794 of the family's 1533-position model. The record is from RNAcentral.